Molecule: ribosomal RNA, 506 nt
Filed under: uncultured bacterium
Lineage: Bacteria
Description: partial 16S ribosomal RNA
Rfam family: Bacterial small subunit ribosomal RNA
Source: RNAcentral
AGUGAACGCUGGCGGUAGGCCUAACACAUGCAAGUCGAACGGCAGCACAGGAGAGCUUGCUCUCUGGGUGGCGAGUGGCGGACGGGUGAGGAAUACAUCGGAAUCUACUCUGUCGUGGGGGAUAACGUAGGGAAACUUACGCUAAUACCGCAUACGACCUACGGGUGAAAGCAGGGGAUCUUCGGACCUUGCGCGAUUGAAUGAGCCGAUGUCGGAUUAGCUAGUUGGCGGGGUAAAGGCCCACCAAGGCGACGAUCCGUAGCUGGUCUGAGAGGAUGAUCAGCCACACUGGAACGGAGAAACGGUCCAGACUCCUACGGGAGGCAGCAGUGGGGAAUAUUGGUCAAUGGGCGCAAGCCUGAUCCAGCCAUACCGCGUGGGUGAAGAAGACCUUCGGGUUGUAAAGCCCUUUUGUUGGGAAAGAAAUCCAGCUGGCUAAUACCCGGUUGGGAUGACGGUACCCAAAGAAUAAGCACCGGCUAACUUCGUGCCAGCAGCCGCAGUAA